Molecule: ribosomal RNA, 846 nt
Filed under: Arthrobacter sp.
Lineage: Bacteria; Bacillati; Actinomycetota; Actinomycetes; Micrococcales; Micrococcaceae
Description: bacterial SSU rRNA
Rfam family: Bacterial small subunit ribosomal RNA
Source: RNAcentral
UCGAAUAUGGGCGUAAGAGCUCGUAGGCGGUUGUCGCGUCUGCUGUGAAAGACCGGGGCUCAACUCCGGUUCUGCAGUGGGUACGGGCAGACUAGAGUGCAGUAGGGGAGACUGGAAUUCCUGGUGUAGCGGUGAAAUGCGCAGAUAUCAGGAGGAACACCGAUGGCGAAGGCAGGUCUCUGGGCUGUAACUGACGCUGAGGAGCGAAAGCAUGGGGAGCGAACAGGAUUAGAUACCCUGGUAGUCCAUGCCGUAAACGUUGGGCACUAGGUGUGGGGGACAUUCCACGUUUUCCGCGCCGUAGCUAACGCAUUAAGUGCCCCGCCUGGGGAGUACGGCCGCAAGGCUAAAACUCAAAGGAAUUGACGGGGGCCCGCACAAGCGGCGGAGCAUGCGGAUUAAUUCGAUGCAACGCGAAGAACCUUACCAAGGCUUGACAUGAACCGGUAAUACCUGGAAACAGGUGCCCCGCUUGCGGUCGGUUUACAGGUGGUGCAUGGUUGUCGUCAGCUCGUGUCGUGAGAUGUUGGGUUAAGUCCCGCAACGAGCGCAACCCUCGUUCUAUGUUGCCAGCGGUUCGGCCGGGGACUCAUAGGAGACUGCCGGGGUCAACUCGGAGGAAGGUGGGGACGACGUCAAAUCAUCAUGCCCCUUAUGUCUUGGGCUUCACGCAUGCUACAAUGGCCGGUACAAAGGGGUUGCGAUACUGUGAGGUGGAGCUAAUCCCAAAAAGCCCGGUCUCAGUUCGGAUUGGGGUCUGCAACUCGACCCCCAUGAUGUCGGGAGUCGCUAGUAAUCGCAGAUCAGCAACGCUGCGGUGAAUACGUUUCCCCGGGCCCUUUUUAC